Molecule: ribosomal RNA, 448 nt
Filed under: uncultured bacterium
Lineage: Bacteria
Description: bacterial SSU rRNA
Rfam family: Bacterial small subunit ribosomal RNA
Source: RNAcentral
AACGCGAAGAACCUUACCUGGGCUCGAACGGCUUCGGACAAACUGUGGAAACACGGUCUUCCCGCAAGGGACUGGAGUCGAGGUGCUGCAUGGCUGUCGUCAGCUCGUGUCGUGAGAUGUUGGGUUAAGUCCCGCAACGAGCGCAACCCUUGUCCUGUGUUGGCAUGCAUUUAGUAAUAAGUGCGCAACUCUCAGGAGACCGCCAGCGAUAAGCUGGAGGAAGGUGGGGAUGACGUCAAGUCAUCAUGGCCUUUAUGUCCAGGGCCACACACGUGCUACAAUGGGCGGUACAAAGCGCUGCCAACCCGCGAGGGGGAGCUAAUCGCCAAAAACCGUCCUCAGUUCGGAUUGCAGGCUGCAACUCGCCUGCAUGAAGCUGGAAUCGCUAGUAAUGCUAUAUCAGAACGAUAGCGUGAAUACGUUCCCGGGCCUUGUACACACCGCGAGC